UACGUAGGGUGCAAGCGUUAAUCGGAAUUACUGGGCGUAAAGCGCGUGUAGGCGGCAGCGCAAGUCGGGCGUGAAAUCCCACGGCUCAACCGUGGAAGUGCACUCGAAACUGCGCAGCUAGAGUCCUGGAGAGGAAGGUGGAAUGCUUGGUGUAGAGGUGAAAUUCGUAGAUAUCAAGCGGAACACCGGUGGCGAAGGCGACCUUCUGGACAGUGACUGACGCUGAGACGCGAAAGCGUGGGGAGCAAACAGG
This 253-nucleotide ribosomal RNA is filed under the name uncultured bacterium. Its description in RNAcentral is "partial 16S ribosomal RNA". It matches the Rfam family "Bacterial small subunit ribosomal RNA", at positions 524 to 776 of the family's 1533-position model. The record is from RNAcentral.